GUCUAGAGAGGCAACUAUAUCCCCAAAGCAUAAGAGUUUAUACCAGAAGGAAACUGAAAAUACAGUUUCUCAGUAGUUCAGUAUCUCUGCUAUUAAAAGUAAAUGAAAAAGAAAGUGAAAGGGGUUGAGAAAGCAGGGCAGUUGCUAGAAGAAAGGAAAGUUUUAAAAAAGCAAGCUUUGCAACCUGUCAAAAUAAGUUACAUCCUACCUAGCCUUACAGGAAAGUAAAGUUUUUAAUGUGUGAAGUGGAGCAGAGCUUCAAGGCAAAAUAAUAUGAAUCCAGUCGGUGGAAUUCCUAAGAUUAUCGAUGGAAAAGAAUGUGGCCAAAUUGCACUGAAACCAGCCCUGAAAUGCAAGUACAAGAUGUGGAAAGUGGAAGUGAAAAGAAGAAAAGAACUUUUAGAACUUAGCAUAUGGUCCAAAGGCUCAUGACUGGAUUCACAGGUGACUUUAGUCAAAGUUUCAGCAUUUAGCAUUGAUUUCUGUAACAUUUAUAAAUGGGAUUACUAAAAUAACAAGGCUAACCAAAAUAUAAUAAUUAGUGCUUCAUUAAGUUAGUAUGAGCCUGCUAAAUUAGCAUCUCUGACAUAAUAAUCAUGUACCUUGGUCUGUA
This 613-nucleotide long non-coding RNA is filed under the name Apteryx rowi (Okarito brown kiwi). Its description in RNAcentral is "lncRNA (ENSARWG00000015274.1)". Lineage: Eukaryota; Metazoa; Chordata; Aves; Apterygiformes; Apterygidae. The record is from RNAcentral.